AACGCACGAGACCUGCGGACCUGCGGAGGGAUCAUUACUGAGUUUCACAACUCUCUAACCCUGUGUGAACUGAAGUCUGGUUGCUCAGGCAGGCGGCCCCCGGGGGGAGCCGCAGCUUCUCUGAAGCGCCUGCCGGAGGAUACCUAAACUCGUUUUAACAUAUAAUCUUCUGAGUAAUAAAAAAAAUGAAUCAAAACUUUCAGCAACGGAUCUCU
This 215-nucleotide unclassified non-coding RNA is filed under the name soil metagenome. RNAcentral describes it as "partial contains 5.8S ribosomal RNA, internal transcribed spacer 2, and large subunit ribosomal RNA". The record is from RNAcentral.